Molecule: ribosomal RNA, 445 nt
Filed under: uncultured bacterium
Lineage: Bacteria
Description: partial 16S ribosomal RNA
Rfam family: Bacterial small subunit ribosomal RNA
Source: RNAcentral
GUGAGGAAUAUUGCGCAAUGGAGGCAACUCUGACGCAGCCAUGCCGCGUGCAGGAAGAAGGCGCUACGCGUUGUAAACUGCUUUUAACCGGGAAGAAACCCCAGGACGUGUCCUGGGUUGACGGUACCGGAGGAAUAAGCACCGGCUAACUUCGUGCCAGCAGCCGCGGUAAUACGAAGGGUGCAAGCGUUAUCCGGAUUCAUUGGGUUUAAAGGGUGCGUAGGCGGAGCGUUAAGUCAGUGGUGAAAUCCUGCAGCUUAACUGUAGACUUGCCAUUGAUACUGGCGCUCUUGAGUGCGCUUGAAGUGGGCGGAAUGUGCCGUGUAGCGGUGAAAUGCUUAGAUAUGGCACAGAAUACCAAUUGCGAAGGCAGCUCACUAAGGCGAUACUGACGCUGAGGCACGAAAGCGUGGGGAUCGAACAGGAUUAGAAACCCGUGUAGUCC